Molecule: long non-coding RNA, 212 nt
Filed under: Mytilus galloprovincialis (Mediterranean mussel)
Lineage: Eukaryota; Metazoa; Mollusca; Bivalvia; Mytilida; Mytilidae
Source: RNAcentral
UACUAUGGAUUCAUUUAUUUUCGUAGGUACCAAUUUUCGUGGUUUGAGGAAAACUUACAUAUUCGUGGAUAUUUAAUUUUGCGGUUAUGGCAAAGUCUACAUUUAUUCCUUUAGAAAAUUUGUAAUUCGUUGAACAUUUGAAUUCGUGGUUUUUCUGUCCCAAUGAAAUCCACGAAAAUUGGUAUCCAACGAAUAUUAAUGAAUCCACAGUA